UACGAAGGUGGCAAGCGUUACUCGGAAUUACUAGGCGUAAAGGGCAGGUAGGUGGUUUGAUAAGUCUGUUGUGAAAGCUCCCGGCUCAACUGGGAGAGGCCAACAGAAACUAUCAGACUUGAGUAUGGGAGAGGGUACUGGAAUUCCCGGUGUAGCGGUGAAAUGCGCAGAGAUCGGGAGGAACACCAAUGGCGAAAGCAGGUACCUGGACCAUUACUGACACUCAACUGCGAAAGCUAGGGGAGCAAACAGG
Molecule: ribosomal RNA, 253 nt
Filed under: uncultured bacterium
Lineage: Bacteria
Description: partial 16S ribosomal RNA
Rfam family: Bacterial small subunit ribosomal RNA
Source: RNAcentral